This 455-nucleotide ribosomal RNA is filed under the name uncultured bacterium. Its description in RNAcentral is "partial 16S ribosomal RNA". It matches the Rfam family "Bacterial small subunit ribosomal RNA", at positions 28 to 507 of the family's 1533-position model. The record is from RNAcentral.
GACGAACGCUGGCGGCGUGCUUAACACAUGCAAGUCGAGCGGAACGGCGCUUCGGGUGGCGCGCGCGGCAGACGGGCGAAUAACACGUGAGUAACAGGCAGGGGACAUUGGUAGAACCGAAGGAUACGGGGGCUAAUAAUGAAUACAGCGCAGCUUCGCAUUAUGACAGCGUUUUGCGCUGUGGGGGGGGCUUUGGGCCCGCUAGCUAGUUGGUGGGGUAACGGGCUACCCAGGCGCAGACCGGUGGCCGGCCGGGGGGGGCGAACGGCCACCCGGGGACCGGGGCACCGCCCCGACUCCUUCGGGAGGGAGCAGUGGGGAAUAUUGCGACAUGGGCGGAAGCCUGAUGUAGCGAAGCCGUGUGUGGGAUGACGGCCUUCGGGUUGUAUACAUCUUUCAGCAGGGACGAAGAGUAAGUGACGGUACCUGCAGAAGAAGCGCCGGCUAACUACGUG